Felis catus (domestic cat) is the source of this 4658-nucleotide long non-coding RNA. RefSeq lists it as uncharacterized. Lineage: Eukaryota; Metazoa; Chordata; Mammalia; Carnivora; Felidae. The transcript is spliced from 4 exons. The record is from RefSeq and is a predicted model, not a curated record.
UUUAAAAAAAUAUACUUGUAGUAUAUACAAGUAUAUAAAAGUAUACUUGUAGUAUAUACAAGUAUAUAAAAAUAUAUACUUGUAGUAUAUAUUCCUAGAAUUCCUAGUAUGUAUUCCUAGAUCCAAGAAUAGGCACAUUUUAAAAUAUUGCCAAGUUGCCCAAGUGAUAUAUGAGUGGACAUGCUUGCCCACACUGUCAUCAACAUCAGGUAGUAACCAUUUAAAAAAUCUUUACAAAUCUUAUAGAUGAAAAUAAUGUCAUUGUUUAAAUUUGGAUUUCUAACUAGUGAAGUUGUGCAUAUUUUCGUAAUGUAGACUAUAUUUCCUGUUCUAUGAAAUCCUUGUUUAUGUUCUUUUCACUCUUGGGGUGUGCACUUUCUUUCUUAUUGAUUUGUAAGAACUUUUUAUUUAUUUAGGAUAUUAGGACUUGUAAUAUAUGAUGCAGGUUUUCUCAGGUUGUGGUUAAUUCAUUGCCUUUGCUUUGAUGUUCUAUUGUUGACAGAGAAGUUUUAAACUUUUUGGUAGCCAAAUUUAUCAGCCUUUUCCUUUGGGUUUCUAGCUUUCAUGUCAUACUUGUAAGGUCUUUCCUACUCAAAGAUUGUAAAAAUAUUCACCCCUAUUUUCCUCUGAAAUGUAAAUGGUUUAAUUUCCUACUCUCCUUUGGGUGUUACUGCUGAAGUGAGGAGGGAGAGAAGAUUCCAGCUGUAUUCUGUAACGGUGGUCACACUGCUUUGGGAAACUGAGGACAACUGAGUGUGAGUACAAACCAAUGACUUUGGGCAAGUUACACUCUCAGUGUCUGUGUUCCCUCUUCUGUGAAAUGGGAAAAACCACAGAAUGUGCUUGUAAGUGUGUGGUGAGAAGUCAUUAAGAUGAUGUGUGUAAAGCAAAGAGCACAGUGCCAGGGGCAAUGUAAACCCUCAGUGUGAGUUAGCUACUGUCCCGGUCUUUCUUCAGUGCUGGCCUUCAUUCUAGCACCAUUGCUGGAAGAAUCCACCUUCUCCCCACAGUUGUGAAAUGCCACCUGUUAAAGGCAACCAUCCACUAGUUUCCCAGGUGCACUGGGUUUGCUUCUGGACUCACUCUUCUGUCAGUCUCUUCUGGGCCAGUGUCUCAUCAGUGCACCUAAGGUUUGCUCACUUCUGGCCAGGGAAGUCUCCAUGCCCCUUGGAGGCCCAGGCCGUGUGCCCUCAGGAACUCCCUUCUGUCUCUCCCAUAUCCCCUCCAGGGCCAGCCCCGUCCACCCUGUGUUUUGCAUCUACUCAUAAGUUUUCCUCGAACUUUCCAAGAUGGGUAGGACCUUUUGUUAUACGCACUUUGAGAUUCAAGAAAUGGAGAGCUGGAAAGUUCCACUUAGAACUUUAAAGUAAGACCGUACUCUCAGCUCUACCACAUACCCUCUCUGAGCCUCCAGUUCCCAUCUGUGAAACAGGGACCACCAUCGCUCCCUUUUGGGGUUGUUACAAGAAUCUGGCGGGGAUGUGCACACCCUGGCAGAGUGCCUGACACAUGGGGACACCCCAGCUUCCAGGUGACGCCGCCUGCCUGUUGGAACUUCUAGUUCUAAAUCCACACAGGCUUGCUCUACCAUGCUGCCCCCCCCCCCACAAGACUGAAUAAUGCCACGCGGAGGCCUUCAGACCUCACCAAAAUCUCCAGGCCCUUCUCUGGGGACUGCACCUUCUUCAGGAUGCCCACACCAGCCAGGAAUGUGCCCCAACUGAACGCAACUGCAGCCUUCCUAAUUGCUGUUGCUAAGUAUAUAUAGGACGCCCUGUACUAUGCAAGUAGCACGUCUUUGUCACCAUGGUGACCAGGCAACUUCAGUCUCCAAACACAUUCCUGUGCAGCAUGUGUCUAUCAGGGCAGAAGGGAGCCAGUAAAACUGUGAGUCUGGCAAAGGAGGGUGGCCCCACCCCCCAGUCGCUGGCUCUCAGAAUUGAGUGGCCAGUGCCCCGCCCUUUGACUGUACAAAGCUCUUCUUCGGAAACUUUCCUUGUCGGCACCCAAACCACACAUCUCCAUCACCUGAAACUGAUUCAGGAAAAAAGGCCCCAGGAGAAGGAGACUCUACGGGGGACACCUGCGAAUCUGGGUAACUCAGAGAAUGCAGGAUUCACCAGGGCACCCUGAAGGCGCGGGCUUGGUGGUAGCAGAACAAAUCCCCGAAGCACCCACAGAAAUCCUCUUUUGGAAGGUACUCUCCAGGAUGGAGCUAAAAGCAAAAUGUAGGUGCCUCAAGAGAGCCUCUUGCUUCUAAGGAAAUCGUGAGACAAACAGUUCCUGCUUACGGCUGUUGAGCUCCUCAGGGCCAAUUGAAUCAGAAUCUUGGGGGUGGGGGUGAGCAUCGAUGCGUGUUUUCUCCAGGUGAUGGUCAAGAGCCCUGAUGGGAACUCCAGGUGAGGCUGCGAGGAUUAUCACACGCUUGAGGGAAGCUGCCAGAACUGGGAGUCUUUUUGAGGGGCAGCAAGGAGGCUGCAACCUGGAGCCCAGCAAGAUCGUUUGUGAAUGUGCUCCUGAUACUGAGAAGACCUGUAGGGCCAGCGUCCCUGCGAAGGAGAAGGGGAGUCAGGUUUUGGGGUUGGGGGUGAAGUUCUGCUAAGAACCGAGAUUGGUCUUGGGCAGUCGUGGCCCUUGCUCUGGGCUCUGCACUUCGGGGCACCCUGCCCUCACCAGGCAUCCUCAGGGGCUGAGACAACUACUUGCCCAGAGCCUGCACACUCCUUUUGAAGCCGUGCCCUUGUCACGCGGGGUUCCAGAAUACCUGCCCAAGUGCCCUGAGCCUGCUUCUAGGCACGCGAGGCCUCUGCCCUGGGUCCAUCUUCUCCAGGAAGACUGUAUAGAAAGCUGGGCACCUGACGGACAGCCCGAAGGCGGCCGCCUGCAAGCUGGUGUGGAGAGACUGGGCUGAACGGUCCCUACACUCAGAAGUCAUGAGGCCAUUUGUGUUUGAAUGUGGACAUGACAUUUGGAGCUGUGUCAGGAAUAUUGUGACCAUGACAGAAAGGCCGGGAGAGUCACAUAGAAGUCAACUCAGGACUCUGACAUUGCACAGCCACCAGACCAACUACCUACCUCAGGACCUCCUGCUAGGAAAUCUACCUUAGGUUGAAGAUCAACCUGAAAGCCCUCUGUUAUCAAGAGAAGGCUUUUAAUACAGGCAGUACUGAUGGAGGGGAAAACAAGGUAUUCCAAAAGUGAAGAAAUCUGAGGGAUUUUCAAGCAGGAAUGAGUACUGAGCAGAAUGUACAAUAUUCUCUUCUAUAUGACAGUGGAGUAUGAAAACCUCAAGAAGUUCUUCAUCCUCAACCCAAUCAAGGGGGGUACUUUAGAGGAAAUCAUGAAGGUUCUGUAGGUAAACAUGGACCAUGGAGAGGAACUAGUACCUUACAUGGAGCCACUCCCUGACUCCAAGGAUCCUGGGCAGACUGACUUGAUGGUAUCCCAGGGCUACACAAUGGGAAGGGAUCAAGGACUCAUAGAUGGGCCAGAAGUAUGAUGAAGUGAUGGUAAUCUAUGUGCUUCUGGCCUAUAAGAGAUCUGAGCUGGAGGGCGACACCAUCAUCCUGAGCCCCAUCCUUUGGCUGAUCCCACCCACAGCUGCCCUUUAAACUCAUCCUGCAAGGUAUGGCAUCGUGACUCUGCUAACCCAAAGCAGAGGAAUUUCAAUAAGCCUGCCACUUCCACCUUUAAUUCCUACUCUGAGAAUAGUCAGAAGAGCAGGACAGAAAAUCAGUGGCUUGAGGAGAACCAGGAGUUAGGAUGGAAAGCGAGCAGCUCAGGCAAAGCAUCUGACAGUCCCCUACUUGGCCUAGAGAGGAGACCACCCCAGCACAGCCCCCAGCAUGGACCUUUGGCCUCCCCUGAACCCAUACACCAGCAGCAGUGAUGAUGUCCCGGAUGCAACCAAAUUCCCCCAGGGUAUAGCCUCCAGGAAAGCCCCUCCAUACUGGCAGCUUAGACAGUGGUCUGACAAACAGAAUUUGCCUGACGGUGUGAUCCCAUCCUCUGCCUCUAGCAGCAGCCAAGGCCGGCAGGGGUCAUUGGGAAGGAUGAAGGUUCACUUUCAUCCACACCUGUGUUUGAGGUCAGCCAGAAAGAACUGGCAUGAAGCAGAAAGAGUGGAGAAGGAAACUUCAGGUGGCCAAAGCAGUGAGAUAAACAAGGAAGCAUGCUGGGAGGUCAGGCGUGCUCCCUGUACUUUACAUGAAGCAUGGAGAUCACGAGCUCCUUGGAGCCCAUCAAGUGUGGGAGAUUGGCCAGGUGCUGAACACAAACAGCUGCACUAGGAACUGGACAAGAUGUAUAUGAUGCUGUGCGUGCGCGGCCCGCUGAGAGAGGACUUCGUGCACUGGGGGAUAGAGAGUAUGACCUGCCCAGCCUUCGCCCCCAGGACUCAGAUAAGGGGCUGACACUUCCAAAGCCUUCAAAAGCAGUCUCCAAGAUAAUGCUGUACCUACAGGAUGCCAGGGGCCACCUAGAGGACAAGAUGAAAGGCCUCUUUGCCCCACCUGGGUGAACUUCAGAGACGGAUGGGACUGUUGCUUUUGGAGCAUUUCUCCUCUUCCCUGCUCUUCUCCAUCUUGUCUUCCGUGUUCGUGGGGGAGGGGAAAUAGAGCUGUAGAAAUAAACUCAAUUAUAAAAAUGCUAAUUUAUUC